GGGAGUAAUUGUGUAACUGUGUCUUCAUAGGAAGGAGAGCACCUUUCCCCAGUGUUUAAAUCGGAGGUUAUAGGCUCCCCAUGGAAGAAAAGAGAGCUGUGGGGAAGAUAUCCAUCCCUUUCUCUCAGCAUGGGAAGGACCCAAGUUGUGUUCCUCUUCUAAGAGUUCUGGAGAAAUAUUAAUGUUUUGAAGACGUUUACAUGAGCAAACAGAAAUGAGUCUGGUUUUAUCAAUUAAAGCCUUAUUUCUGACUUUAUGCCACAAUCAAUGGCAUUGUGUAAAAACAGCCAGAUGGAAAAUGGAUGUGCAGAAGCAGUACCUUCCUAUAAUUCAAUUUAAUUAGUUUAAUGGCAUUUCUCUGGCAGUAUGAUGGGCAGAGGCUGCUUAGCCUGGAUUCCUGGAUGGCAAAAUAUAGCUUAAGAUGUUAUAUCAAAGAGAUUCUAAGGGAAGAAAACAGUGAAAAGAACAUUUGCUGUCCCCUAGCAGAGGGUUAGCCAAUUAAUCACUGUUAUUGUUGACUAAGUAAUUUUUUCUUGACAGCUGUGCCCUUCAAAAUGACAUCAGGGGAAACUGAAUCCAUUUGCAUUACUUCAGCUGGCCAAAUCACUGUAGAAAGUUUAAACUAGUUCUGAAAAAAAACAACGAGGAAAACAGGGACAUCAGUGAACUCCGAAUGACAGAAUAAAUGGGCUAUUCUGA
Long non-coding RNA from Parus major (Great Tit), 699 nucleotides. RefSeq lists it as uncharacterized. The transcript has 2 exons. The record is from RefSeq and is a predicted model, not a curated record. NCBI's taxonomy places the organism in Eukaryota, Metazoa, Chordata, Aves, Passeriformes, Paridae.